This 480-nucleotide ribosomal RNA is filed under the name uncultured bacterium. RNAcentral describes it as "bacterial SSU rRNA". It matches the Rfam family "Bacterial small subunit ribosomal RNA", at positions 27 to 518 of the family's 1533-position model. The record is from RNAcentral.
ACGGGACGAACGCUGGCGGCGUGCUUAAUACAUGCAAGUCGAACGGAGAUAAAGAUUCGGUUUUUAUCUUAGUGGCGAACGGGUGAGUAACGCGUGAACAACCUGACUCAAAGAGGGGGAUAACAACGGGAAACUGUUGCUAAUACCGCAUAAGACCACGUCCUCGCAUGUGGAUGGGGUCAAAGAUUUAUCGCUUUGAGAGGGGUUCGCGUCCCAUUAGGUAGUUGGAGGGGUAACGGCCCACCAAGCCGACGAUGGGUAGCCGAGCUGAGAGGCUGAUCGGCCACACUGGAACUGAGACACGGUCCAGACUCCUACGGGAGGCAGCAGUAGGGAAUAUUGGGCAAUGGGCGCAAGCCCUGACCCAGCAACGCCGCGUGAGGGAAGAAGGUUUUCGGAUUGUAAACCUCUGUCCUAUGUGACGAAGGAAGUGACGGUAGCAUAGGAGGAAGCCCCGGCUAACUACGUGCCAGCCGCCGC